GAUGAACGCUAGCGGCAGGCUUAAUACAUGCAAGUCGAGGGGUAGCAAGAUUGUAGCAAUACAAUUGUUGACGACCGGCAAACGGGUGCGGAACACGUACACAACCUUCCUACAAGUGGGGAAUAGCCCAGAGAAAUUUGGAUUAAUACCCCGUAACAUAGCGAUGUGGCAUCACAUUGCUAUUAUAGCUUCGGCGCUUGUUGAUGGGUGUGCGGCUGAUUAGAUAGUUGGUGGGGUAACGGCCCACCAAGUCUACGAUCAGUAGCUGAUGUGAGAGCAUGAUCAGCCACACGGGCACUGAGACACGGGCACGACUCCGACGGGAGGGAGCAGUAAGGAAUAUUGGACAAUGGAGGCCAGUCUGAUCCAGCCAUGCCGCGUGAAGGAUUAAGGUCCUCUGGAUUGUAAUCUUCUUUUAUAAGGGACGAAAAAAGGUCUUUCUAGAUCGUCUGACGGUACCUUAUGAAUAAGCACCGGCUAACUCCGUGCCAGCCGCCGCCGUAA
This 504-nucleotide ribosomal RNA is filed under the name uncultured bacterium. Its description in RNAcentral is "partial 16S ribosomal RNA". It matches the Rfam family "Bacterial small subunit ribosomal RNA", at positions 28 to 523 of the family's 1533-position model. The record is from RNAcentral.